UAUAGGUUAGAUAUAGGUCAGGUAUAGGUUAGAUAUAGGUCAGGUAUAGGUUAGAUAUAGGUCAGGUAUAGAUAGGUAAGGUAUAGGUUAGAUAUAGGUCAGGUAUAGGUUAGAUAUAGGUCAGGUAUAGGUUAGAUAUAGGUCAGGUAUAGGUUAGAUAUAGGUCAGGUAUAGGUUAGAUAUAGGUCAGGUAUAGAUAGGUAAGGUAUAGGUUAGAUAUAGGUCAGGUAUAGGUUAGAUAUAGGUCAGGUAUAGGUCAGGUAUAGGUUAGAUAUAGGUCAGGUAUAGGUUAGAUAUAGGUCAG
Molecule: long non-coding RNA, 304 nt
Organism: Oncorhynchus tshawytscha (Chinook salmon)
Lineage: Eukaryota; Metazoa; Chordata; Actinopteri; Salmoniformes; Salmonidae
Source: Ensembl